GCUGUCCUGCAGGGAUAAUGAGGAAUUUACCAAAGCAGAGCAACAGAUGCCUUGAGAGAUAGCAGACAGAAGAACCAGUGCCCAGUUAAACCAAGGUUCAGAAUGCCAGGCUGCCUGUGAGAGAAGGCUCAUCAGUGACAGUUUUCAGUGGGUAAAAAUGGGUAAAAAGCUGUAAUUCCUUGGGGCUGGCUUGGUUCUGCGAAGAGCA
This 208-nucleotide long non-coding RNA is filed under the name Junco hyemalis (dark-eyed junco). RNAcentral's name for it is "lncRNA (ENSJHYG00000001915.1)". The record is from RNAcentral. Lineage: Eukaryota; Metazoa; Chordata; Aves; Passeriformes; Passerellidae.